This 260-nucleotide ribosomal RNA is filed under the name uncultured bacterium. RNAcentral describes it as "partial 16S ribosomal RNA". It matches the Rfam family "Bacterial small subunit ribosomal RNA", at positions 524 to 782 of the family's 1533-position model. The record is from RNAcentral.
UACGAAGGGGGCUAGCGUUGCUCGGAAUCACUGGGCGUAAAGCGCACGUAGGCGGAUCUUUAAGUCAGGGGUGAAAUCCUGGAGCUCAACUCCAGAACUGCCUUUGAUACUGGGGAUCUCGAGUCCGGAAGAGGUAAGUGGAACUCCGAGUGUAGAGGUGAAAUUCGUAGAUAUUCGGAAGAACACCAGUGGCGAAGGCGGCUUACUGGUCCGGUACUGACGCUGAGGUGCGAAAGCGUGGGGAGCAAACAGGAUUGAGA